RNAcentral lists this ribosomal RNA (419 nucleotides) under uncultured bacterium. Its description in RNAcentral is "bacterial SSU rRNA". It matches the Rfam family "Bacterial small subunit ribosomal RNA", at positions 355 to 772 of the family's 1533-position model. The record is from RNAcentral.
UAGGGAAUAUUGGUCAAUGGGUGAGAGCCUGAACCAGCCAUGCCGCGUGCAGGAAGAAGGCCUUCUGGGUUGUAAACUGCUUUUGCCGGGGGAUAAAAUUCCCAUGCGUGGGACAUUGAAGGUACCCGGUGAAUAAGCCACGGCUAACUACGUGCCAGCAGCCGCGGUAAUACGUAGGUGGCAAGCGUUGUCCGGAUUUAUUGGGUUUAAAGGGUGCGUAGGCGGUCUUGUAAGUCAGUUCUGAAAUAUCCCGGCUUAACCGGGAGGGUGGGAUUGAUACUGCAGGACUUGAGUGGAGUCGAGGUAGGCGGAAUUGACGGUGUAGCGGUGAAAUGCUUAGAUAUCGUCAAGAACACCGAUAGUGUAGACAGCUUACUAGUCUCAAACUGACGCUGAGGCACGAAAGUGUGGGGAUCAAA